Molecule: ribosomal RNA, 430 nt
Filed under: uncultured bacterium
Lineage: Bacteria
Description: partial 16S ribosomal RNA
Rfam family: Bacterial small subunit ribosomal RNA
Source: RNAcentral
GUGGGGAAUAUUGCACAAUGGGCGAAAGCCUGAUGCAGCGACGCCGCGUGCGGGAUGAAGGCCUUCGGGUUGUAAACCGCUUUUGUUAGGGAGCAAGCGUAAGUGAGUGUACCUUUCGAAUAAGCACCGGCUAACUACGUGCCAGCAGCCGCGGUAAUACGUAGGGUGCAAGCGUUAUCCGGAAUUAUUGGGCGUAAAGAGCUCGUAGGCGGUUUGUCGCGUCUGGUGUGAAAGUCCAUUGCUUAACGGUGGAUUUGCGCCGGGUACGGGCAGGCUAGAGUGCAGUAGGGGAGACUGGAAUUCCCGGUGUAACGGUGGAAUGUGUAGAUAUCGGGAAGAACACCAAUGGCGAAGGCAUGUCUCUGGGCUGUUACUGACGCUGAGGAGCGAAAGCGUGGGGGGCGAACAGGAUUAGAAACCCCAGUAGUCC